Molecule: ribosomal RNA, 793 nt
Filed under: Microbacterium sp. 56(2010)
Lineage: Bacteria; Bacillati; Actinomycetota; Actinomycetes; Micrococcales; Microbacteriaceae
Description: bacterial SSU rRNA
Rfam family: Bacterial small subunit ribosomal RNA
Source: RNAcentral
CGUGUGCAACCUGCCCCUGACUCUGGGAUAAGCGCUGGAAACGGCGUCUAAUACUGGAUACGAGACGUGAUCGCAUGGUCAACGUUUGGAAAGAUUUUUCGGUUGGGGAUGGGCUCGCGGCCUAUCAGCUUGUUGGUGAGGUAAUGGCUCACCAAGGCGUCGACGGGUAGCCGGCCUGAGAGGGUGACCGGCCACACUGGGACUGAGACACGGCCCAGACUCCUACGGGAGGCAGCAGUGGGGAAUAUUGCACAAUGGGCGAAAGCCUGAUGCAGCAACGCCGCGUGAGGGAUGACGGCCUUCGGGUUGUAAACCUCUUUUAGCAGGGAAGAAGCGAAAGUGACGGUACCUGCAGAAAAAGCGCCGGCUAACUACGUGCCAGCAGCCGCGGUAAUACGUAGGGCGCAAGCGUUAUCCGGAAUUAUUGGGCGUAAAGAGCUCGUAGGCGGUUUGUCGCGUCUGCUGUGAAAUCCGGAGGCUCAACCUCCGGCCUGCAGUGGGUACGGGCAGACUAGAGUGCGGUAGGGGAGAUUGGAAUUCCUGGUGUAGCGGUGGAAUGCGCAGAUAUCAGGAGGAACACCGAUGGCGAAGGCAGAUCUCUGGGCCGUAACUGACGCUGAGGAGCGAAAGGGUGGGGAGCAAACAGGCUUAGAUACCCUGGUAGUCCACCCCGUAAACGUUGGGAACUAGUUGUGGGGUCCAUUCCACGGAUUCCGUGACGCAGCUAACGCAUUAAGUUCCCCGCCUGGGGAGUACGGCCGCAAGGCUAAAACUCAAGGAAUUGACGGGGACC